RNAcentral lists this ribosomal RNA (118 nucleotides) under Dehalococcoidales bacterium. The record is from RNAcentral. Lineage: Bacteria; Bacillati; Chloroflexota; Dehalococcoidia; Dehalococcoidales.
CCUGGUGGUUUAGGCGAAGUGGUACCACCCGUUACCAUCCCGAACACGGCAGUGAAACGCUUCAGCACAGACGAUACUGAGGAGGCGACUCCUUGUGGAAAAUAUGCCACUGCCAGGG